ACGCUGGCGGCGUGCUUAACACAUGCAAGUCGAACGAACCUUCGGGUUAGUGGCGGACGGGUGAGUAACGCGUGGGAAUCUGCCCUCAGGAGGGGGAUAACGGCCGGAAACGGCCGCUAAUACCCCAUAUGCCGAGAGGUGAAAUGAAUUUCGCCUGAGGAUGAGCCCGCGUCUGAUUAGCUAGUUGGUGAGGUAAGAGCUCACCAAGGCAUCGAUCAGUAGCUGGUCUGAGAGGAUGAUCAGCCACAUUGGGACUGAGACACGGCCCAAACUCCUACGGGAGGCAGCAGUGGGGAAUCUUGCACAAUGGAGGAAACUCUGAUGCAGCGAUGCCGCGUGAGUGAAGAAGGCCUUUGGGUUGUAAAGCUCUUUCGUCGGGGAAGAAAAUGACUGUACCCGAA
This 401-nucleotide ribosomal RNA is filed under the name uncultured cyanobacterium. RNAcentral describes it as "bacterial SSU rRNA". It matches the Rfam family "Bacterial small subunit ribosomal RNA", at positions 33 to 483 of the family's 1533-position model. Lineage: Bacteria; Bacillati; Cyanobacteriota. The record is from RNAcentral.